RNAcentral lists this ribosomal RNA (497 nucleotides) under uncultured bacterium. Its description in RNAcentral is "partial 16S ribosomal RNA". It matches the Rfam family "Bacterial small subunit ribosomal RNA", at positions 28 to 507 of the family's 1533-position model. The record is from RNAcentral.
GAUGAACGCUGGCGGCGUGCCUAAUACAUGCAAGUCGAGCGAACAGACGAGGAGCUUGCUCCUCUGACGUUAGCGGCGGACGGGUGAGUAAAACGUGGAUAACCUACCUAUAAGACUGGGAUAACUUCGGGAAACCGGAGCUAAUACCGGAUAAUAUAUUGAACCGCAUGGUUCAAUAGUGAAAGACGGUUUUGCUGUCACUUAUAGAUGGAUCCGCGCCGCAUUAGCUAGUUGGUAAGGUAACGGCUUACCAAGGCAACGAUGCGUAGCCGACCUGAGAGGGUGAUCGGCCACACUGGAACGGAAACACGGCCCAGACUCCUACGGGAGGCAGCAGAAGGGAAUCUUCCGCAAUGGGCGAAAGCCUGACGGAGCAACGCCGCGUGAGUGAUGAAAGUCUUCGGAUCGUAAAACUCUGUUAUUAGGGAAGAACAAAUGUGUAAGUAACUAUGCACGUCUUGACGGUACCUAAUCAGAAAGCCACGGCUAACUACGUG